This 254-nucleotide ribosomal RNA is filed under the name uncultured bacterium. RNAcentral's name for it is "partial 16S ribosomal RNA". It matches the Rfam family "Bacterial small subunit ribosomal RNA", at positions 524 to 776 of the family's 1533-position model. The record is from RNAcentral.
UACGUAGGGUGCAAGCGUUGUCUGGAAUUAUUGGGCGUAAAGAGCUCGUAGGCGGUGUGUCGCGUCGGCCGUGAAAACCUGCAGCUUAACUGUGGGCUUGCGGUCGAUACGGGCAUCACUGGAGUUCGGCAGGGGAGACUGGAAUUCCUGGUGUAGCGGUGAAAUGCGCAGAUAUCAGGAGGAACACCGGUGGCGAAGGCGGGUCUCUGGGCCGAUACUGACGCUGAGGAGCGAAAGCGUGGGGAGCGAACAGG